GGUCAAGUGAAGAAGCGCAUACGGUGGAUGCCUUGGCAGUCAGAGGCGAUGAAAGACGUGGUAGCCUGCGAAAAGCUUCGGGGAGUCGGCAAACAGACUUUGAUCCGGAGAUCUCUGAAUGGGGGAACCCACCUAGGAUAACCUAGGUAUCUUGUACUGAAUCCAUAGGUGCAAGAGGCGAACCAGGGGAACUGAAACAUCUAAGUACCCUGAGGAAAAGAAAUCAACCGAGAUUCCCUUAGUAGUGGCGAGCGAACGGGGAUUAGCCCUUAAGCUUCAUUGAUUUUAGCGGAACGCUCUGGAAAGUGCGGCCAUAGUGGGUGAUAGCCCCGUACGCGAAAGGAUCUUUGAAGUGAAAUCGAGUAGGACGGAGCACGAGAAACUUUGUCUGAACAUGGGGGGACCAUCCUCCAAGGCUAAAUACUACUGACUGACCGAUAGUGAACCAGUACCGUGAGGGAAAGGCGAAAAGAACCCCGGAGAGGGGAGUGAAAUAGAACCUGAAACCGUAUGCGUACAAGCAGUGGGAGCCUACUUGUUAGGUGACUGCGUACCUUUUGUAUAAUGGGUCAGCGACUUAUAUUCAGUGGCAAGCUUAACCGUAUAGGGUAGGCGUAGCGAAAGCGAGUCUUAAUAGGGCGUUUAGUCGCUGGGUAUAGACCCGAAACCGGGCGAUCUAUCCAUGAGCAGGUUGAAGGUUAGGUAACACUGACUGGAGGACCGAACCCACUCCCGUUGAAAAGGUAGGGGAUGACUUGUGGAUCGGAGUGAAAGGCUAAUCAAGCUCGGAGAUAGCUGGUUCUCCUCGAAAGCUAUUUAGGUAGCGCCUCAUGUAUCACUCUGGGGGGUAGAGCACUGUUUCGGCUAGGGGGUCAUCCCGACUUACCAAACCGAUGCAAACUCCGAAUACCCAGAAGUGCCGAGCAUGGGAGACACACGGCGGGUGCUAACGUCCGUCGUGAAAAGGGAAACAACCCAGACCGCCAGCUAAGGUCCCAAAGUUGUGGUUAAGUGGUAAACGAUGUGGGAAGGCUUAGACAGCUAGGAGGUUGGCUUAGAAGCAGCCACCCUUUAAAGAAAGCGUAAUAGCUCACUAGUCGAGUCGGCCUGCGCGGAAGAUGUAACGGGGCUCAAACCACACACCGAAGCUGCGGGUGUCACGUAAGUGACGCGGUAGAGGAGCGUUCUGUAAGCCUGUGAAGGUGAGUUGAGAAGCUUGCUGGAGGUAUCAGAAGUGCGAAUGCUGACAUGAGUAACGACAAUGGGUGUGAAAAACACCCACGCCGAAAGACCAAGGGUUCCUGCGCAACGUUAAUCGACGCAGGGUUAGUCGGUUCCUAAGGCGAGGCUGAAAAGCGUAGUCGAUGGGAAACAGGUUAAUAUUCCUGUACUUCUGGUUACUGCGAUGGAGGGACGGAGAAGGCUAGGCCAGCUUGGCGUUGGUUGUCCAAGUUUAAGGUGGUAGGCUGAAAUCUUAGGUAAAUCCGGGGUUUCAAGGCCGAGAGCUGAUGACGAGUCGUCUUUUAGAUGACGAAGUGGUUGAUGCCAUGCUUCCAAGAAAAGCUUCUAAGCUUCAGGUAACCAGGAACCGUACCCCAAACCGACACAGGUGGUCGGGUAGAGAAUACCAAGGCGCUUGAGAGAACUCGGGUGAAGGAACUAGGCAAAAUGGCACCGUAACUUCGGGAGAAGGUGCGCCGGCUAGGGUGAAGGAUUUACUCCGUAAGCUCUGGCUGGUCGAAGAUACCAGGCCGCUGCGACUGUUUAUUAAAAACACAGCACUCUGCAAACACGAAAGUGGACGUAUAGGGUGUGACGCCUGCCCGGUGCCGGAAGGUUAAUUGAUGGGGUUAGCGCAAGCGAAGCUCUUGAUCGAAGCCCCGGUAAACGGCGGCCGUAACUAUAACGGUCCUAAGGUAGCGAAAUUCCUUGUCGGGUAAGUUCCGACCUGCACGAAUGGCGUAACGAUGGCGGCGCUGUCUCCACCCGAGACUCAGUGAAAUUGAAAUCGCUGUGAAGAUGCAGUGUAUCCGCGGCUAGACGGAAAGACCCCGUGAACCUUUACUGUAGCUUUGCACUGGACUUUGAGCCUGCUUGUGUAGGAUAGGUGGGAGGCUUUGAAGCGUGGACGCCAGUUCGCGUGGAGCCAUCCUUGAAAUACCACCCUGGCAUGCUUGAGGUUCUAACUCUGGUCCGUAAUCCGGAUCGAGGACAGUGUAUGGUGGGCAGUUUGACUGGGGCGGUCUCCUCCUAAAGAGUAACGGAGGAGUACGAAGGUGCGCUCAGACCGGUCGGAAAUCGGUCGUAGAGUAUAAAGGCAAAAGCGCGCUUGACUGCGAGACAGACACGUCGAGCAGGUACGAAAGUAGGUCUUAGUGAUCCGGUGGUUCUGUAUGGAAGGGCCAUCGCUCAACGGAUAAAAGGUACUCCGGGGAUAACAGGCUGAUACCGCCCAAGAGUUCAUAUCGACGGCGGUGUUUGGCACCUCGAUGUCGGCUCAUCACAUCCUGGGGCUGAAGCCGGUCCCAAGGGUAUGGCUGUUCGCCAUUUAAAGUGGUACGCGAGCUGGGUUUAGAACGUCGUGAGACAGUUCGGUCCCUAUCUGCCGUGGACGUUUGAGAUUUGAGAGGGGCUGCUCCUAGUACGAGAGGACCGGAGUGGACGAACCUCUGGUGUUCCGGUUGUCACGCCAGUGGCAUUGCCGGGUAGCUAUGUUCGGAAAAGAUAACCGCUGAAAGCAUCUAAGCGGGAAACUUGCCUCAAGAUGAGAUCUCACUGGGAACUUGAUUCCCCUGAAGGGCCGUCGAAGACUACGACGUUGAUAGGCUGGGUGUGUAAGCGUUGUGAGGCGUUGAGCUAACCAGUACUAAUUGCCCGUGAGGCUUGACCA
This 2890-nucleotide ribosomal RNA is filed under the name Pseudomonas aeruginosa. RNAcentral describes it as "23S ribosomal RNA". It matches the Rfam family "Bacterial large subunit ribosomal RNA". The record is from RNAcentral. Lineage: Bacteria; Pseudomonadati; Pseudomonadota; Gammaproteobacteria; Pseudomonadales; Pseudomonadaceae.